CCGAGUUAUACAACUCAUCAACCCUGUGAACAUACCUAAACGUUGCUUCGGCGGGAACAGACGGCCCCGUAACACGGGCCGCCCCCGCCAGAGGACCCCCUAACUCUGUUUCUAUAAUGUUUCUUCUGAGUAAACAAGCAAAUAAAUUA
Molecule: unclassified non-coding RNA, 149 nt
Filed under: uncultured fungus
Lineage: Eukaryota; Fungi
Description: sequence contains ITS1, 5.8S rRNA gene
Source: RNAcentral